RNAcentral lists this long non-coding RNA (1535 nucleotides) under Musa acuminata (dwarf banana). RNAcentral's name for it is "long non-coding RNA (MACU_LNC007762)". The record is from RNAcentral. Lineage: Eukaryota; Viridiplantae; Streptophyta; Magnoliopsida; Zingiberales; Musaceae.
UUGACUUCACGCUGCGAUUGAGGGUUACAUUGCCUCUUACCUAGCUUGUUCUUACUUAUUUAAGUCACUAGCCCCAAUAGCAAUAGCAUCCAUCUCGCAACUUACACAAUAUUAUGGUGUAACUCCAUACUUGAAACAAGAAUCACGGUGGUAAUCUCACUCCAUACUUGAAAAAAGAAUCACAUAUAUAAUAGGCGCAGGCGCACCCGUCAAGUAAGCGUUAGCACAAACUCUGUUACUGCGGACUUCGUUAGCACAAACUCAGGUAUUCCUUGAGAGGUAGCCGUGGAAAAAGCAAUGAAUGAUGAGUUGACUCCUGUUGACGAGUUGACUAAACACUUUCCUACUUAUGGUUAAUGCUCGUGAAUAAUUGGAGAAGAAAUGGCCAAGACACUGGUCACCCAGCAAGCAGUAAGUGUUUUCGAAGCCCCUACUUAGUAAGGGUGGCAGCAGACUUCAAUCCUAUUUCUGCACUCAUGAACUUCCCUCUCUCCACCAGUUCUUGCCUUAAGCUAGUGUCCAUCAUCUGUUCUUGUUUCAUCCUAGUUAAUUGGUGACGAGUCUUUUUCUUCGACAUUAGCUUAGUCGAGUUCCAUAGAGAGUGUGUUUCUACAUUAGCCGAGUUCCAUAGAGAGCGUGUAUUUAGAAGCUUCUAUACCACAUGUGUUCGAUAGAUGAGAAAUGCAUUCAUGCCCUUAGAGAUAUAUGUCAGGACAGAACAAGCAAUCAGAUCAGAAGCGGUGCGCGUAGAGGAGUUGAUAGUUUCCAUUUGAAACCACCCCUCUCUCCACCUUGAAUUGAAUCUUUCUUAUCGAACGCAUAAGUUAGUCAUAAAGCAGAAGAUUGCAGUGCUGUCAAAGAUCAACGCAUAGAAGCUCCUUACGCUCAAUCACCUUGAGAAUGGAAAUUCUUGGACUCUAUUGAACUACAUCGGUAACGACUUGAGCCACAUAAGGAUUUGUUUGCAGUAAACCCUGAUUGAGAGUACUACUCGGGUCUGUAAACCCAUCUAUCUUUUCGAAUGGAAUGAGAAACUGCAGAAGCUGGAAAAGAAGCUGGGGGUAAUAAACAAGAUCUGAAAGUUAGAGAAGGAUCUUAAGCGGGAAGUUCAGUUUAGUUCAGGGAAGAAUAAGAAUAUAGUGAAGUUGAGAGAAAAGAGCAUAUAAAGAGACUUAACUAAGCUAGAGGAUACAGCGCUUUAGAAGGAAUCGAGGCAAGCAAACUCAGAAGCACUCUUUCUUUGUUUUUGAUUAAUAUAUGAUAGCUGUUGAUGGCGUACUCCAGAGCUUCCAUGUAGUCAGACUCACUCGCUCCCAAGGAAACUAUACUCAAACUAGAGGAUACAGCGCUUCAUAAGGAAAGGACGGAAAGAUAAUAGUAACAGAACAAGAUGUCGGGCUAAUGUUAGCUUAGGAGUAAAGGAGUCACGAUUGAGGUUACUACUUAAUCAUAUGCUACUUCUUUCUGGAAUUCCUGUUAUACUGGUCCAACAGUUAUUGCUUUACAAGUCUCUCGUAGAGUAUUUAGUCCUGGAU